UAAGGAUUGUUGCAGGUGAACAAACGGCGAUUGCUUUGGAUUAUUACAAAGUUGUGUUAAAUCAUUAUGCACUAUGCCUUGUGAAGCAGCUCAUGCUUUCAUGACAUCGGGAUCCACCGAGACAACAGCUACCAAAGAAGAAUUAAAGCUGCUGCCGUAUAUAAAGCACUGCGCCACAAAAUUGCAUUUGACAUAUACAUUUUCUAUCUUCUCUGGAGCAAUGUACUCGCCUUGUGCCAACUUAAAGAUAAUCCUCUUCCUAUCAAUGAUUUUGAGACGACCGCCAGCUAUCCAUGUUCCAAUAUCUCCGGGGUUCGGCUGAUCAUCAGAUGUAUAGUUCACUUCCGGAACAUCUAUAAGUUUUAUCUCACAGCAUGGACUUGGGGAGCCAAACGAUUAUCCGCGGUUACGGGUCACAGUUGUGCUCGCUAUAAUGACAAUGCCGACAUUCACUUACGGUAAUUCAAGUGAUUCCAUUUGGCUUGCUGCUGUUAUGCUAACGUUUUU
Molecule: long non-coding RNA, 507 nt
Organism: Lathyrus oleraceus (garden pea)
Lineage: Eukaryota; Viridiplantae; Streptophyta; Magnoliopsida; Fabales; Fabaceae
Exons: 3
Source: RefSeq, a predicted model, not a curated record